UACAGAGGGUGCGAGCGUUAAUCGGAAUUACUGGGCGUAAAGCGCGCGUAGGCGGCUUUGCAAGUCGGGUGUGAAAUCCCCAGGCUUAACCUGGGAACUGCAUUCGAGACUGCAUUGCUAGAGUAUGGGAGAGGGAAGUGGAAUUUCCGGUGUAGCGGUGAAAUGCGUAGAUAUCGGAAGGAACAUCAGUGGCGAAAGCGACUUCCUGGACCAAUACUGACGCUCAUGUGCGAAAGCGUGGGUAGCAAACAGG
Molecule: ribosomal RNA, 253 nt
Filed under: uncultured bacterium
Lineage: Bacteria
Description: partial 16S ribosomal RNA
Rfam family: Bacterial small subunit ribosomal RNA
Source: RNAcentral